This 194-nucleotide ribosomal RNA is filed under the name uncultured bacterium. Its description in RNAcentral is "partial 16S ribosomal RNA". It matches the Rfam family "Bacterial small subunit ribosomal RNA", at positions 338 to 524 of the family's 1533-position model. The record is from RNAcentral.
CCUACGGGAGGCAGCAGUGGGGAAUAUUGGACAAUGGGCGAAAGCCUGAUCCAGCAAUGCCGCGUGUGUGAAGAAGGCCUUAGGGUUGUAAAGCACUUUCAGCAGGGAGGAAAAGCGCAGGGCCAAUACCCCUGUGUCUUGACGUAACCUGCAGAAGAAGCACCGGCUAACUCCGUGCCAGCAGCCGCGGUAAU